CACGUCCCUGUGCUGUUGUGCUGAGCGGCGGACACGGGUGCAUCCUUCCCUGCCAAGUGUGCGCUCGCUGGUAAACAGGAGUCCCGGCGGCACAGCGGAGGACACAGAUGCUCGGCUGCCAAGGCCAGGUAAGAGGGAGGCUGGGCCGGAAGUUCACACAGCUGCCUUCUGAAUACGUCCACCCAGGCGGAGAUGGAGAUGCGUGCUCGUGGAAGACUCGCUCAUUAUGUGUGCAUUGUUUCAAGCUGUCCCGUAAUCACGAAACAAAUUCAUGGCAAGCUGAAAACUAAUUGCAUUAUAUCAUGUGAGUAAUUGAGAGACAGCAGGGAGGAUCUCGCUUCCCCUUGAGGGCCGGACACCUGGGAGAGGCGCCUAACAAGUGUUAUUGAAGGAGGGAAGUGACAGCCUUCAAGAGCCAGAAGGAGCCCAUGCACCAUCCCGCCUACUGCUCCAGCACUUCUGGAGGAGCAGGUGGAUCCCAGCAGGGGCUGGGGUCUCAUGCCCAGGGUCCCACAGCUGAUGAUGGCAGGGGCAGGAUGUGGCCCAUAGCUUUCUGAGUCAAACCCUUCCUCCAAGGCCAAUGCCUUCCAGGACCGCCCAUGCUCUUGUCAUAUCUGUUCCUGGUAAACAAGAUGUAGAUCAUUGUUGAGCAGCUGCAAGCUGGAAGUGUCCCAGGGCGUUUGACCUCUUGCAUGUACUCACGGAGCAGCUGCUCUCUGAUGACUUCCAUGUCCACCCCUCCUGAGCAAGUUAGCAAGUACAGGUCUCUAAAGUGGCCGGUGGCCAGCCCUGUGUACCCAUGGUCAUUCUGAGGACAUCAACAUCUGGGAGUAGGAACCACUUCAUACAGAGAAGAGAAAAUGCCUCCUCAAUGAGACCACAUGGGCAGCUGCCUCCUUCCGAGUGUCCUUGUUAAUAUUCAUCCAAAUUCCUGCCAAGCACACUCCUGGAGCCAGCAGUAGGGAUCACCUGUGGUGAUGACCAUGGUCGCUUUGUUAUCUCAGGUGACCUUGCCAGCUCUGUUGGAGACCAAGACUCCUUGGAGGAACCAUGUUCAGCAUGGGCGUUUGCCUCAGAACUUCUAACCCCCUGCUGGGCUCCAAGUAGGUUUAAAGUAAUAAAUGUGCAGAUGCUACUGGUUUUACAGGAGUUGUUUCUUUUAAUCCUUGCACACACAACUUGUGUUGGGGAGAGUCGCUAUUAAGAGACCCAUUUUACAGAUGAGGAAGCCCAUCCACGCCGC
Molecule: long non-coding RNA, 1243 nt
Filed under: Chinchilla lanigera (long-tailed chinchilla)
Lineage: Eukaryota; Metazoa; Chordata; Mammalia; Rodentia; Chinchillidae
Description: lncRNA (ENSCLAG00000028187.1)
Source: RNAcentral